CUGGUGACAGGUUAAAAUCUUGGCAAAUUGGUACCCAUAUGAUGACCUAUGAAACUCUGUAUUUUGUAUUCCAGAUAUUACUGAUAGCAUCAUAUCUCUUGAUGAAAAAAACCAAAAUAGCCAGUGUGUUCGUUCCAUUGGUCUUAAUGAUAGAAUCCUUCCUCUUUUUUUUCUUCAUUUUUGCGAAUAUACUGGCAUUACCAAGAUAUUUAACAAAGCUGAUAUGGCCCAUUUUUGAUAUUCUCAAUGAUUUUUUUGCAUUUGUAUACCUUGCCUAUGCAGGCUUCUAUUCAAUAAUUCACCCACCAGGCACUAUGGAUAAACUAUACUGGCAAGUAGCUGGACUCAUACUUUCUGUUGCCUUCUUGUCUCUACUAGAUAUUGUUGUACAAACCCUGCUGCUUAAGUACAGGACGGUGAAAGCUAUAUCUGCCCCUCCACCCAGACAGAAGACUUAGCACACUUAAAAUCUCAUGGAAAACAAAGCAUGUAGCCCGCUUCUCUUUUACUAAGAUGAUUUUCUUUUCCUCUAAAAUUCCCAUUUUGACAUUUUCAUGGCAAAGUGCUUUCCCAAAAAAUAAUGUAUGGAAGUCUUUUUUUUCCCCCAGAGGAAUACCAAUUUUAACUUUACCAAAUAAAGUUCUCUUCUGACACUUCA
RNAcentral lists this long non-coding RNA (658 nucleotides) under Phascolarctos cinereus (koala). RNAcentral's name for it is "lncRNA (ENSPCIG00000036089.1)". The record is from RNAcentral. Lineage: Eukaryota; Metazoa; Chordata; Mammalia; Diprotodontia; Phascolarctidae.